RNAcentral lists this unclassified non-coding RNA (154 nucleotides) under uncultured Inocybe. RNAcentral's name for it is "sequence contains ITS1". Lineage: Eukaryota; Fungi; Basidiomycota; Agaricomycetes; Agaricales; Cortinariaceae. The record is from RNAcentral.
UAGAGUUGUAAAACUCCCAAAAACCAUGUGAACAUACCUGUUGCCUCGGCGGGCCUACCCUAUAGCUACCCUGUAGCUACCUGGGAAGUGACCGCCGAAGGACUACCAAAACUCUUUCAUCUCUGUAUCUCUGAGCAAAAAAACAAAUAAGUUA